UACGGAGGGUGCGAGCGUUGUCCGGAAUCACUGGGCGUAAAGGGCGCGUAGGCGGCGCGGGGAGUCAACGGUGAAAGCUCGGCGCUCAACGCCGAGUCGGCCGUCGAUACUCCCGUGCUCGAGCACUGUAGAGGCAGGUGGAAUUCCGGGUGUAGCGGUGGAAUGCGUAGAGAUCCGGAAGAACACCGGUGGCGAAGGCGGCCUGCUGGGCAGUAGCUGACACUGAGGCGCGACAGCGUGGGGAGCAAACAGG
Molecule: ribosomal RNA, 253 nt
Filed under: uncultured bacterium
Lineage: Bacteria
Description: partial 16S ribosomal RNA
Rfam family: Bacterial small subunit ribosomal RNA
Source: RNAcentral